RNAcentral lists this ribosomal RNA (442 nucleotides) under uncultured bacterium. RNAcentral's name for it is "bacterial SSU rRNA". It matches the Rfam family "Bacterial small subunit ribosomal RNA", at positions 29 to 472 of the family's 1533-position model. The record is from RNAcentral.
AACGAACGCUGGCGGCAUGCCUUACACAUGCAAGUCGAACGGCAGCACGGGGGCAACCCUGGUGGCGAGUGGCGAACGGGUGAGUAACAUAUCGGAACAUACCCUAGAGUGGGGGAUAACGUAGCGAAAGUUACGCUAAUACCGCAUACGAUCUAAGGAUGAAAGUGGGGGGAUCUUCGGACCUCAUGCUCAUGGAGUGGCCGAUAUCUGAUUAGCUAGUUGGUGAGGUAAAGGCUCACCAAGGCGACGAUCAGUAGCUGGUUUGAGAGAACGACCAGCCACACUGGAACUGAGACACGGUCCAGACUCCUACGGGAGGCAGCAGUGGGGAAUUUUGGACAAUGGGGGGCAACCCUGAUCCAGCAAUGCCGCGUGUGUGAAGAAGGCCUUCGGUUGUAAGUCGACUUUAGUUCAGGUAACGAAACGGUUAGGAGGUUAAGUA